RNAcentral lists this ribosomal RNA (233 nucleotides) under uncultured bacterium. Its description in RNAcentral is "partial 16S ribosomal RNA". It matches the Rfam family "Bacterial small subunit ribosomal RNA", at positions 103 to 334 of the family's 1533-position model. The record is from RNAcentral.
CGGGUGAGUAACGCGUGAGGAACCUGCCUCAAAGAGGGGGACAACAGUUGGAAACGGCUGCUAAUACCGCAUAAGCCCACGGCUCGGCAUCGAGCAGAGGGAAAAGGAGCAAUCCGCUUUGAGAUGGCCUCGCGUCCGAUUAGCUAGUUGGUGAGGUAAUGGUCCACCAAGGCAACGAUCGGUAGCCGGACUGAGAGGUUGAACGGCCACAUUGGGACUGAGACACGGCCCAG